Molecule: ribosomal RNA, 1478 nt
Filed under: uncultured Bordetella sp.
Lineage: Bacteria; Pseudomonadati; Pseudomonadota; Betaproteobacteria; Burkholderiales; Alcaligenaceae
Description: partial 16S-23S ribosomal RNA intergenic spacer
Rfam family: Bacterial small subunit ribosomal RNA
Source: RNAcentral
GGUUUGAUCCUGGCUCAGAUUGAACGCUGGCCGGGAUGCUACACAUGCAAGUCGAACGCUGGCACGGACUUCGGUCUGGUGGCGAGUGGCGAACGGGUGAGUAAUGUAUCGGAACGUGCCUAGUAGCGGGGGAUAACUACGCGAAAGCGUAGCUAAUACCACAUACGCCCUUCGGGGGAAAAGCGGGGACCUUCGGGCCUCUCGCACUGAUAGAGCGGCCGAUAUCGGAUUGAGCUAGUUGGUGGAGUAACAGCUCGCAAGGCGACGAUCCGUAGCUGGUUUGAGAGGACGACCAGCCACACUGGGACUGAGACACGGCCCAGACUCCUACGGGAGGCAGCAGUGGGGAAUUUUGGACAAUGGGGAAACCCUGAUCCAGCCAUCCCGCGUGUGCGAUGAAGGCCUUCGGGUUGUAAAGCACUUUUGGCAGGAAAGAAACGGCACGGGAUAAUACCCCGUGCAACUGACAGUACCUGCAGAAUAAGCACCGGCUAACUACGUGCCAGCAGCCGCGGUAAUACGUAAGUGCAAGCGUUAAUCGGAAAUUACUGGGCGUAAAGCGUGCGCAGGCGGUUCGGAAGAAAGAUGUGAAAUCCCAGAGCUUAACUUUGGAACUGCAUUUUAACUACCGAGCUAGAGUGUGUGUCAGAGGAGGUGGAAUUCCGCGUGUAGCAGUGAAAUGCGUAGAUAUGCGGAGGAACACCGAUGGCAGAAGGCAGCCUCCUGGGAUAACACUGACGCUCAUGCACAGCGUGGGAAGCUAAGCAGGAUUAGAUACCCUGGUAGUCCACGCCUAAACGAUGUCAACUAGCUGUUGGGGCCUUCGGGCCUUGGUAGCGCAGCUAACGCGUGAAGUUGACCGCCUGGGGAGUACGGUCGCAAGAUUAAAACUCAAAGGAAUUGACGGGGACCCGCACAAGCGGUGGAUGAUGUGGAUUAAUUCGAUGCAACGCGAAAAACCUUACCUACCGCGGUAUGUCUGGAAUCCCGAAGAGGUUGGGGUGCUCGCAGGAGAACCGGAACACAGGUGCUGCAUGGCUGUCGUCAGCUCGUGUCGUGAGAUGUUGGGUUAAGUCCCGCAACGAGCGCAACCCUUGUCAUUAGUUGCUACGAAAGGGCACUCUAAUGAGACUGCCGGUGACAAACCGGAGGAAGGUGGGGAUGACGUCAAGUCCUCAUGGCCCUUAUGGGUAGGGCUUCACACGUCAUACAAUGGUCGGGACAGAGGGUCGCCAACCCGCGAGGAGCCAAUCCCAGAAACCCGAUCGUAGUCCGGAUCGCAGUCUGCAACUCGACUGCGUGAAGUCGGAAUCGCUAUUAAUCGCGGAUCAGCAUGUCGCGGUGAAUACGUUCCCGGGUCUUGUACACACCGCCCGUCACACCAUGGGAGUGGGUUUUACCAGAAGUAGUUAGCUAACCGUAAGGAGGGCGAUUACCACGGUAGGAUUCAUGACUGGGGUGAAGUCGUAACAAGGUAG